This 447-nucleotide ribosomal RNA is filed under the name uncultured bacterium. Its description in RNAcentral is "bacterial SSU rRNA". It matches the Rfam family "Bacterial small subunit ribosomal RNA", at positions 355 to 825 of the family's 1533-position model. The record is from RNAcentral.
UCGGGAAUUUUGGGCAAUGGGCGAAAGCCUGACCCAGCAACGCCGCGUGAAGGAUGAAGUAUUUCGGUAUGUAAACUUCGAAAGAAUAGGAAGAAUAAAUGACGGUACUAUUUAUAAGGUCCGGCUAACUACGUGCCAGCAGCCGCGGUAAUACGUAGGGACCAAGCGUUGUUCGGAUUUACUGGGCGUAAAGGGCGCGUAGGCGGCAUGACAAGUCACUUGUGAAAUCUCUGGGCUUAACCCAGAACGGCCAAGUGAUACUGUCGCGCUAGAGUGCAGAAGGGGCAAUCGGAAUUCUUGGUGUAGCGGUGAAAUGCGUAGAUAUCAAGAGGAACACCUGAGGUGAAGACGGGUUGCUGGGCUGACACUGACGCUGAGGCGCGAAAGCCAGGGGAGCAAACGGGAUUAGAUACCCGAGUAGUCCCUGAGCGGGCUGGCAAGGCGCAU